ACCUGCGGAAGGAUCAUUAAUUAUCGGUAGUUUACUGCCGUUUGAAGGAGAUGGAAACUUGGUAGGCCUGGCCUGUCAAGGAGUACAUUUCUUUUCUUCACCCUUGUCUUUUUGCGCACUCAUGUUUCCUCGGCAGGCUUGCCUGCCGGUUGGACAAUUCUAUAACCUUUUUACUAUUUCAAUCAGCGUCUGAAUUAUUUUAAUAAUUACAACUUUCAACAACGGAUCUCUUGGUUCUGGCAUCGAUGAAGAACGCAGCGAAAUGCGAUAAGUAGUGUGAAUUGCAGAAUUCAGUGGAUCAUCGAAUCUUUGAACGCACAUUGCGCCCCUUGGUAUUCCAUGGGGCAUGCCUGUUCGAGCGUCAUUUUGUAAAUUCAAGCUUUGCUUGGUGUUGGGUGUUUGUCUCUGCUCUGCAAAGACUCUCCCUAAAUAUAUUGGCAGCCUAUGGAAUGGUUUGAAGCGCAGCACAAUUGCAAUUCAGGCGAUAUUAUGGGCAUCCAGAAAGACCAUUAUCACGCUUGACCUCGGAUCAGGUAGGGAUACCCGCUGAACUUAAGCAUAUCAAUAAGCGGAGGAAAAGAAAC
This 584-nucleotide ribosomal RNA is filed under the name Phaeosphaeria sp. RNAcentral describes it as "eukaryotic LSU rRNA". The stretch from base 211 to 364 matches the Rfam family "5.8S ribosomal RNA". Lineage: Eukaryota; Fungi; Ascomycota; Dothideomycetes; Pleosporales; Phaeosphaeriaceae. The record is from RNAcentral.